RNAcentral lists this ribosomal RNA (301 nucleotides) under uncultured bacterium. RNAcentral's name for it is "partial 16S ribosomal RNA". It matches the Rfam family "Bacterial small subunit ribosomal RNA", at positions 509 to 809 of the family's 1533-position model. The record is from RNAcentral.
CAGUAGCCGCGGGAAAACGGAGGGUGCAAGCGUUAAUCGGAUUUACUGGGCGUAAAGCGUGCGUAGGCGGCUUUUUAAGUCGGAUGUGAAAUCCCUGAGCUUAACUUAGGAAUUGCAUUCGAUACUGGGAAGCUAGAGUAUGGGAGAGGAUGGUAGAAUUCCAGGUGUAGCGGUGAAAUGCGUAGAGAUCUGGAGGAAUACCGAUGGCGAAGGCAGCCAUCUGGCCUAAUACUGACGCUGAGGUACGAAAGCAUGGGGAGCAAACAGGAUUAGAUACCCCAGUAGUCCCUGUCUCUUAUAA